Molecule: transfer RNA, 73 nt
Filed under: bacterium
Lineage: Bacteria
Also listed under: 1 other name
Description: tRNA-Ala
Rfam family: tRNA
About the family: Transfer RNA (tRNA) molecules are approximately 80 nucleotides in length. Their secondary structure includes four short double-helical elements and three loops (D, anti-codon, and T loops).
Source: RNAcentral
GGGGGUAUAGCUCAGCUGGUAGAGCGCAUCGUUCGCAUCGAUGAGGCCAGGGGUUCGAAUCCCCUUACCUCCA